RNAcentral lists this ribosomal RNA (1272 nucleotides) under metagenome. RNAcentral's name for it is "SSU rRNA". It matches the Rfam family "Eukaryotic small subunit ribosomal RNA", at positions 482 to 1777 of the family's 1831-position model. The record is from RNAcentral.
AAUGCGGGACUCUAAGAGGCCCCGUAAUUGGAAUGAGUACACCUUAAAUCGUUUAACGAGUAUCAAUUGGAGGGCAAGUCUGGUGCCAGCAGCCGCGGUAAUUCCAGCUCCAAUAGCGUAUAUUAAAGUUGCUGCAGUUAAAAAGCUCGUAGUUGGAUCUGGGGCUUGAGGUCGCUGUCUAUCGUUUCGGCGAUGACGGUGAUGCUCAGCUCUGCUUGCCGGUGACUGUUGCGGUGUUCUUCACUGAGCGCUGUAGCAGCACGGCACGUUUACUUUGAAAAAAUUAGAGUGCUCAAAGCGUGCUUGUCGCUUGAAUAAUGUUGCAUGGAAUAAUGGAAUAGGACCUCGGUUCUAUUUUGUUGGUUUUCGGAGCUUGAGGUAAUGAUUAAGAGGGACGAACGGGGGCAUUCGUAUUGCGGUGUUAGAGGUGAAAUUCUUGGAUCGCCGCAAGACGGACUACUGCGAAAGCAUUUGCCAAGAACGCUUUCAUUAAUUAAGAACGAAAGUCAGAGGUUCGAAGACGAUCAGACACCGUCCUAGUUCUGACCAUAAACGAUGCCGACCAGCGAUCCGUAGUGGUUGCUUUAUGGACCCUACGGGCAGCCUCCGGGAAACCAAAGUAUUUGGGUUCCGGGGGAAGUAUGGUUGCAAAGCUGAAACUUAAAGGAAUUGACGGAAGGGCACACCAGGAGUGGAGCCUGCGGCUUAAUUUGACCCAACACGGGAAAACUCACCCGGUCCGGACACCGUAAGGAUUGACAGACUGAUAGCUCUUUCUUGAUUCGGUGGAUGGUGGUGCAUGGCCGUUCUUAGUUGGUGGAGUGAUUUGUCUGGUUAAUUCCGAUAACGAACGAGACUCUAGCCUGCUAAGUAGUGUUGCUAUUGUUAUAUGGUUGACACUUCUUAGAGGGACAAGUGGCAUUUAGCCACGCGAAAUUGAGCAAUAACAGGUCUGUGAUGCCCUUAGAUGUCCGGGGCCGCACGCGCGCUACACUGGAGAAGUCAGCGUGUGUUAUCCAAGUCCGAAAGGACUGGGUAAUCCGUUGAACCUUCUUCGUGCUUGGGACUGUGGCUUGGAACUAUUCCACAUGAACGAGGAAUUCCUAGUAAUUGCAAGUCAUAAGCUUGCGUUGAUUACGUCCCUGCCCUUUGUACACACCGCCCGUCGCUACUACCGAUUGAAUGGUUUAGCAAGGUCCUCGGAUCGUGGCCGUAGGGGCACGCAAGUGUUUCUGCGGUUUGCGAGAAGACGACCAAACUUGAUCAUUUAGA